This 611-nucleotide ribosomal RNA is filed under the name uncultured bacterium. RNAcentral describes it as "bacterial SSU rRNA". It matches the Rfam family "Bacterial small subunit ribosomal RNA", at positions 805 to 1415 of the family's 1533-position model. The record is from RNAcentral.
AACGAUGUAUACUUGAUGUUGGGGAUUUAACCCCUCAGUAUCGUAGCUAAUGCGAUAAGUAUACCGCCUGGGGACUACGGUCGCAAGGCUGAAACUCAAAAGAAUUGACGGGGCCCGCACAAGCGGUGGAACAUGUGGUUUAAUUCGAUGCAACGCGAAGAACCUUACCUGGGUUUGAAAUCAUAAUGACCGUCUGUGAAAGCAGACUUUCCUUUCGAGGACAUUAUGACAGGUGGUGCAUGGCUGUCGUCAGCUCGUGUCGUGAGAUGUUGGGUUAAGUCCCGUAACGAGCGCAACCCUUGUUCUUAGUUACCAGCGGGUAAUGCCGGGGACUCUAAGGAGACUGCCUGCGAUGAGCAGGAGGAAGGUGGGGUUGACGUCAAGUCCGCAUGGCCCUUAUGCCCUGGGCUGCACACGUGCUACAAUGGUCGGUACAACGGGCAGCAAAAUCGCGAGGUGGAGCAAAUCCCUAAAAGCCGGCCCCAGUUCGGAUUGGAGUCUGCAACUCGACUCCAUGAAUGCAGGAAUCGCUAGUAAUCGCGGAUCAGAAUGCCGCGCUGAAUACGUUCCCGGGCCUUGUACACACUGCCCGUCAAGCCAUGAAAGCCGGU